UUGCGUCUGUUGGCGACGAAGGCUGGAACUGGAAGCAGCGCAUGCCCUAGCCUAGCUAGCCCGGUAGUCAGCUCCAUGCGCUUUGGCGAUGCUGGUGGCCGAGCCAGGCCAAACAGAAGGCUCUUGUCUCGGGCGCAGGGUUGUCGCAGUGCAGGCAGCUGGCCGCCCUGGCCCCCGCGUCGUCGUAUAUCCUUCCACCUGAGCUGA
This 207-nucleotide unclassified non-coding RNA is filed under the name Zea mays. RNAcentral's name for it is "misc RNA Zm00001eb224750". Lineage: Eukaryota; Viridiplantae; Streptophyta; Magnoliopsida; Poales; Poaceae. The record is from RNAcentral.